Stomoxys calcitrans (stable fly) is the source of this 7288-nucleotide long non-coding RNA. RefSeq lists it as uncharacterized. The record is from RefSeq and is a predicted model, not a curated record. The transcript has 2 exons. Lineage: Eukaryota; Metazoa; Arthropoda; Insecta; Diptera; Muscidae.
UUGGGAGCGGUGUCUAUAACACCCUAACGCAUACCACGCUGUAGCGAAUACAAUAAUACGCUGAUUUUGACAACCGAAAAAUCUCCAUCCUUACGUGGGUCCAUCCCUUUAUCGCAUAUGGUGACAUGUGGGCCUCCCUAAAAUAUCCGACAUAUGUGCACGUAGCUAGGGUCUGAACGGGUUAUAUUAACUCGGGGUGAAUGAAAUAGUCAGCCAAAGUGUAAAAAGAAAUUGAUUGUGUAUGACAGUGAUUUCCAGCCAUUACAACCAAAGGAAUUUGCCAGGUUCCCGCUGCAAGAAAACAACCACUGCCAUCAAAUAAUUUGGGUCAAGCCGUUCUUAUGUGAUGAGUGAUCUACAGCCCUGUGUUGUCAAUUAAUUUGCCUAUUCAUUGUUAAAAAAACAGUGCCGUCAUAGUUGUUUUAUGUUUAAAGUCGUUUUUGUGUUCUUUGUUUUUCACAUUUGAUCUUUUAUUGUCACAAGCCACCGAAACGCAGCAGAGAAGUAAACGAUCAAGUUAAAGCCCCAGCCCGUUUUGACGCAUACUUGAUCGAUAUGACUCUUCAGCAUUCACCAUUAAAUCACCAAAACUUCUUCAGCAGGCGCCGCUUCUACCAACGAGACACAUCUAUGCACGCCAUCAAUCCAAGAACACCUAAACUUUACAGAUCAGCAGCGCACAUAAAAGCCAGCAUUGACCUCUGCCUGUGACGUCCGUACAGCAGCCGAAAAACAACCCUUACAAAAGCCAACAACAGUCAACGAAGCGGGUGAGUUACAAAGCAAAUGCACGAAAUGCAACAAAAUAUGUUACAAAUGCAGACAAUGCUGCAAACUGCAACAAUUGCAGUUGCAACAGACUCAAAUGCAGCAGUUAAGAAAAGACAUGGUUGAGGCACUAACAUCAAAACACGCGAAGCUGUCCGUCCAGAAUCCUCAAACAUCAUUGCAGCAGCCACCAGCCAGUAAUCGGACAUUGGAGCCAUCAAGUAUAUCACAAACCAUAUCACAGCUGCCACCACAACAAACCGCCAUACCGCCGCCGUCACAAUAAUACGCCACACAGUCGCACCAGUUAGUCCAGCCAAAGCAAGUAACGCAACAGGAAAUUCCAAGACAAUUUCGUCAACCAUGUACUGUCUAGCUUAUGAACCAGGACAUGAAUUCCCAAAUAGUGUUUUAAACACACUAAACCCUUAUAUUAAUUUGUCACAAAAGAAAAUUUACCCCCUUCCAAUAUUUUCAGGAUUGCCCGAGGAAUGACAAACUUUCUCCUAAGCAUUUUACAGUAACACCGAUGAAUUUCUUUACAAUAAUCUGCACAAUAUAAUGCGCCUGAGGAAAUCCAUUAAAGGCAAUGCUCGUGAAGCUGUGGAAUAUUAUUGGGAAGCUCUGCCAAUUUUGAAUGAAUAAUUUAAGGGAAACCUUCGGCAGACCGGAACAACUCAUCAAAAGCCUGAUUGAUAAGGUCCGUAAAAUUCCCCCUUUGGUCAAUGAUAAUUUGGAGGCAAUAGUAAGUUUCGCCAAUAAGAUGACAACCAUGGCUACGUUCUUAAAAAACGCUCGUGGAGAACAUCAUCUUUAUAAUCCAUUUUUGUUAAGUGAGUUGGUUGCCAAACUACAGAUUAAUGGACAAAUGGAAUGGGGUGAGAAAUGUCGGUUUUUAAAAGAAGCUCCUAACAUCGUCCACGAUACCUCGUCGCCACAACCAAACCGAAAGUUCGCAUGUGUCACCGUUAAAAAGUGUAUUGUCUGCAAGGGACUCUGCACGUCAAUCAAAAAGUGUAAACACUUUCUGGAAAUGUCUUGCGACGAAAAAUGGAAAAGGUAUACAAAACCACGUGAAAAAAUGAGUGUUUGAAAUAUCACAACAAUUUGCUUUAUAACGAUGUUGCGGACACUGACAAAAACGGUAAGAGUUAUGUAAAUCCAGCACUAUCACAAGAGCCCGAGCUGAGAAAUUGUCAUGCCCUAUGUGAAACCGGCAACAUUUUGUUCCAAAUAUUGCCCAUCCCAAUAUAUGAAAAAUAUUAAAUUAUUUCUACUUAUGGUUUUAUAGAUGACUGCGCAAAUGUAUCCAUGCUCGAUUUUUCAGUGAUUUAAAAGAACUUGAAAAAUAAAAGAAUAAAAGAAAAAGCGAAAAGCUUAAAGAAAGUAAAGUUGUAAAAACCUGUAAAAGAAAAAGAAACAUUUAUUAAAGAAGAAAACAUUGAAAAGAAAUAGAAAAAAAGUAAAUCAAAUAAUGUACAUUUUAAAGCUAAAAACUUAAGUCUAAAAAAAAAGCUAAAGCCAAGACUCUUCCACCUCCACUGCCACACAUAUAAAAGACUUCAGCAGCUGCAAUUGGCAUAUCCACAACCCCUGUCGCUACUCCACUGAGGGACCUAGACGCUGUCGCAUACCAAUGUCCACAAGGUAGUCCAAAACGUUUCUCCGACCAUAAACCGACAGGCAUACAGACGGUUGACUCUCGACAGAUUUAUUUUGUUAUAAAAGUUUUUUUUUUGGGUAAAAAAAGAGAUAAAAAAGGAAAUUAGGUAGGGACAACAUCGAGCUUUUUUAUUACUUACCCUUUGGUUGGGUUCGAUACAGUAACCUAAACAUGAGCUCAUAGUUAGGUUAGGUAGUGGAUAGUAGAGGAUAUUUCCUUGCCCAUCAGCCAAUGUUGACCUUACGGUGCUGAGAAAGCAGCACAUCAGAAAACCCCCAGAAAAUAAUAAAGGAAAAAAACAUUUUUAGACAAGAACUGACUGCGACAGAUACACUUAAACACGACAAUACUUACCAAAGAUUAGACGGAUGGACGGACAAACGAGAACCUAAAAGGGCGCAGAGGCUGCCACCAAGACCACAAUACCCGGGGACUCCAUUGGCAUUUAUCCGGAACAGUCGCCAUUGGAACCAGGAACCUGAAAAUCACAAGAUUAAGAAAUUAAAUUUGAAAGCCUUAAUUUUUGCUUGAAAAUUAUUUUGCUAAUUAUGAUCCAAAUUCCUGAUUUUGCUCUAAAGUGAAUAUUUCACGAAGAAUUUGUUAGUUUUGAUAACUUGCAUUUUAAUUUCUUAACUACCUUUUUUGGUUAUUACAAGCUUUUGUUAUAAAUGUCAAAAUUGAGAUUAUCAGGGAGGUUGUGACCUCAAAAAAAAAACAAUGCCGAAUUUUGUAAGAAUGAUAGAAUGAAAUAUUUUUGGUUUUUUUUCUUUUCCAUGAAGGGAUAGGAAACUAAAGAAAGGGGAAGGAAUGUUGUAAUGAACAGGUGAGUAAGCUUUUGGGGUACUCCGAUUUAGUGGGCCAUGGGAGUACCAUGGUUUGGGGAGGGUUAGGCCGAGGCAUGCCAUGGAUGACCGGCAUGCCAGCGAACCGAUAAAGACAUUGUCCUGUGUGUUAAAUUUCCAAGUGAUUAUGUACCCGCUGUAUUUGUCCAUCCACAAGCUGGUUGAUUUUAGUUUUUUUGUCCCUACUUUUUGGCAAUAGGUGUUGGCAAAGAACCGCGCCCCAUCUACUGAGCCACAGCCGGAGCUCAACCGCCAGCAUCAAUUGCCACUCCAGAGAAAAGGUGGAGUGACCUCCUAUGGGGGUACGUGACAAAGCAGGAACAAUUAUCGUUACAGUGGCUUAAUGGGCAUUGUGUGGCUCAAGACUCCGAAGUUUUCGAUGUGACACUUAGUAGAAUCGGAGAAGGAGAUAAAAGAUACACCAUUAAAAGUGUUUAUACGAUGUCAGACCUAUCUUUGCCAGUACAAAGUUUUGAUUUGGCAAGUAUGGUGAAAUGUUCUACAAAUCUUGAUGUAUCGAAAAUAAAAUUUGUUAGUUACAAAAAUGUUCAACCAAAAUUAAUACUUAGCCUACAUCAUUGCUUUUUAACAGUCCAUUGGAAGUGCCCCGCUUGUUGUCAGCCGCUGGACCGAUCGUAACCACCACCAGAUUGUCCUUCAUGCCAGAAAGUUGUUGUAUGUUGUAUGUUGCCCAAUGACACUAAGGAAGAUCCCAUACAGCAACUAAACAUCAUGAUGCAAAGGUACUUUGAUAUAGAGACACUCGAUGUAAAAGUAACUACAUCUAAGCCUUUGCCAUCAGAGGAUAAACGUGCACUACAACUUUUAAAUGAAUUUUCAAGAAAGGUCGAUGAACGAUACGAGUGCCGACUUCUAUGGAAAGAAAAUUUGUCCUCAUUUCCAGAAUCGCAUGAAAUGGCUCUAAAACGUUUGUAUUAUGUGAAGAACAAAAUGGCCCGAAGCAGUGACUAUGCGAGUGCAUAUCAUUUGAAAAUCAGGGACUAUAUAGCAAAAGGUUAUGCCAGAAAACUCGAGGUAAACGAGAAUCCCGUUUUAUUUGCCGCACUUUGGAGUGCAAAAUAUAAACAAGAAUGGAAUCGUUUUCGAUGCCGCCUCUGAAGUUCAGAAUGUGUCUUUGAACAAAUGUCUCUUAAGCGGGCCGGACAUAAAUAAUACAUUGAUUUCAGCCAUUUUUAAAUUUCGCGAAGCCUCAGUUGCCGUUUGUGGAGACAUUAAAGAAAUGUUCCAUAAGAUCAAAAUCGUCAAAGAAGACCAGGACUGUCAGCGAUUCUUGUGGAGAAAUGGGGACAAAAGAAAAAGUGGAAGUGUACGUUAUGCAGAGGAUGAUAUUUGAAGCUAUAUGUUCGCCAAUAAUUGCCCAGUUUAUUAAAAACUUAAAUGCCCAAAGAUUUUUGCAAGAAGCCCCUCGAGCAGUGCAUGGUAUAAUCGACCGUUACUACGUCGACGAUUACGUCGAUUGUUUUGACACUGAGGACGAAGCUGUAAGUGUUGUAAAAGAUGUUAUCAAAAUUCAUAGUGCUGGUGGAUUUGAGCUAAGAAAUAUCAUUUCCGAUUCGGAAUGGGUGGUGAGAUCUUGUGGACAAUCGCACAACGGAGGAAACAGCGAUGAGUCUUUGAAUAAAGAUAAUAUAGAAAAAAAUUAGGAAUACACUGAUUACCAAACCCAGUUGUUUUUGGUUUUCGUAUCAAUUUCCAUAAAGUGGUGAAAUCUAUUUUAGAAUUUACCAAGGUUCCCAUCAAACGUGAAAUGUUUUCACUAAAUAGUCAAUUUAUGACCCAUUUGGAUUCUUAUGCGAAUUUACGAUUAUUCUCACCUUUUUUUGCCAAGAUUUUUUCAACACCAAAGUUGAUUUGCAUAUUUUCACUAAUGCUAGCGAAGAAGCGAAGGCGACAGUAGCGUCUUGGCGUGUGGUAAGUGUGGUCGGAAUUAAAGUCGUAUUUGUAAUAGGCAAAUCUGCUUGUGCUAUCAUAUUAUACGCAAAUUAGAACUGUAGGCAGCAGUAAUGGGUGUUCGUAUGAAGGACUUGAUAAUUGCUAACUAAAAGUUAAUAAAAUCCAUUUUUGGACAGAUUCUCGUACUGUUAUCCGCUGGAUUCGUUCUGAUCAGCGGAAGUACAAAUAAUAUGAAGCCUAUAGGAUGGCCGAGAGCAGCGAAAUGGAUAGUUGGAAUUGGUGUCCGGGAUCUAAAAAUCCAGCCGAUGACACAACAAGAGCAAAAUUUCCCAUUAAGUAUGAAGCGGGCGGACGGUGGACAAAUGGACCGGAGUUUUUACACUUGGAUGAGUCUCAAUGGCCCUUGAAGUUGCAAAUGGAAAACUGCCUGGAUGCUAGCAAAACAGAACGGCGAUCUAAAUAUGUCAUAUAUGUGGCUCGUCAGGUUUGCAAAUUACGUCCUGAUAUUAACAGGUUUUCCAAAUAUUCCAGAUUAAAACGCACUAUGGCUUGGGUUUAUCGAUAUGUAAAAAAUUUGUUUCGAAAAAUAAAAGGAGUCGACAUUAUCAAAGACAAGCUAAGCGUGGAAGAAGUAGCAUGUGCCGAAACGCACUUAUGUCGACGAAUACAACGUGAAGUUUUUCGGAUGGCCACAUCAAUUUGUCAACCGUAAGAGGCGAAGUGCGCUUGAAGUUCUGGGUUCCAUCGUUACGCCGAUUGCUGAAUAGUAUUCAGUCACGAUGUCAAGCCUUUCGCUAACGGAGAGCGCCAACCUCAAAUGGGCCCAUUGUCGAUAGAUCGUGUUACACGAUAUGUUCGUGCUUUCGCUUACACUGGUUUGGAUUAUUUUGGGCCGGAUGGCCUUGUUUACCUGCUUAACCGUUCGUGCUAUCCAUCUGAAGAUAGCCAAUGAUCUAUCUAGUGAUGCUUGUCUGUUAUGCAUUAGGAACUUCAUAAACCGACGUGGAACUUCAUAAAGCGCCACUAAUUUUGUUGGUAUCUAGAAAGAGUUGCAGGGUGAGAAAAACUUUAUUGAUAAUGAUAAGAUGACUUCAUAUCUUACAGCAUUGGGUAUCCAAUGGAAGUUCAACACGCCGACGAAUCCAAGCGAGGGUGGUGCAUGGGAGAGGCUCGUGCAGUCGGUCAAGAAGGUCCUUCAUAUGAUACUGCGCGAAUAUUCACCCAGACUUGAAACCCUGCAAAGUUUUUUAAUUGAAGCUGAGAAUAUGGUUAAUUCCAGACCAUUGACGCAUUUGGCUGUUACACCAGAAGAUCCCCACCCAUUGACGUCAAAUCACUUUUGAAUGGGCUGUGCAAAUUCAACCCAAACACCAGCGCCAUAUGAACCUCGUCUAAUGUGCCCUCUUAAGCAAUGGCGUAUUGUGCAAAUUUGAAAAAUGGUAUGUGGCAUCAAUGGGUUCGGGAAUAUUUGCCGGAGCUAACUCAACGCACAAAAUGGUGUCUUCCUUCUCAUCCUGUCAACAUUGGAAGCCUUGUUUUUAUAUGCGACUCAGACAUUCCCCGCACUCAGUGGAAGCGUGGAAAAGUUGUUGAAUUGCUUACUGGCAAAGAUGCCGUGGCCCGCUCUGCAAGAAUCAGUACCCAUUCCGGUUUUUGUAGAAGGUCAAUAUCAAACUUGCCGUUUUAGAUGUGGAUGCAGAAGAUUUGAGUGGUGAAGCCUCCCCAUCCGGGUCAUUUCACGGAGGCGAGGAUGUCUAUGAUGGUCACUCUAAAGUGAGUGGCGAAGAUGGUUACCCCUAAAAUGGGUGGCGAAGAUGGUCAACCCUAAAGUGGGCAACGCAAAAAGGGUUGAAUGUGGUAUGAACCGCAUCCAUUGAACACUAAAUGUUUUUGCAGUCUGAUCAUAAACAGUAAAAUUGAUAAUGUAUAUGUAAAUUUGUAUAAAAGCCCUUCAGGCCUUGAUUCUUACCUUUUUGCUUGGGUAACUUAACUAAACACGUAAGGUUAACCUUUAUAAUUUGUUAAAUUUUUAUAAAUUUUUACCUUUAUUUUAUUAACGAAUAAACAUAACACAAUCUUUUGUCAUCAAUCAUUUAAACAA